This is a non-coding RNA of Malus domestica (apple), 1771 nucleotides long. The record is from RefSeq and is a predicted model, not a curated record. Lineage: Eukaryota; Viridiplantae; Streptophyta; Magnoliopsida; Rosales; Rosaceae.
CCGAUUUGAUUAGUAUUUGGAUUAUUUGUGGUUGCCGGGCCGUUGUGCGUCUAUUUAGAUUUGGGAUUUUUUGCGUUCAGAGGGUUUCGACAUCUCUAAUUGGGGUAAAGAAUUCCUGCUGUUUCCCCUUUUUUCCGUUUGGGAUUUCUAGGUUGUGGCUGGGUUUUUGGCCAAUUUACACCUCUUUUCAAGGGUGGCGUCAUUGCAGCCCGCUGUGGAACAAGUGUGAUCCAACUAAGGGAUAUUACGAAUCGUGAUUCUAAAUCAGCUUCUCCUUAGUUCACAAAUACCAAGAUCGUUAUUUAUCUAAAUUUUGUGCCCAUCUUGGGUUCGCUUUGAACUUGGUUGAGACCGAUCUAAUCCGGCGUUUCUAGGUGAGUUCUGCAUGUUUAUCAGCUUAUAUGGUUUCGAUCUUUUGUUUUUCGUUGGAUCGUUAUUGUGCGUGUCUGAUGCAUUUUGUUUUCCAGAUUCAGGAAACUGUCCCUUUUAGAUUUUUGGAUUUUCGAUUCUGAUUCUUGGAACUCUUUGUGCUAAAGGUAUAUAAAUGUAUUAUUUGUUUUUUCCUUUGUUUUCUUUGCAGCUGAAUUUGAUUUUUUUUUGUUUUGUUUUGGUGAUUUGGGACCUCUUUUGUGCAUGUUUGGGUUGUUAAUUGGUAAUGCAUAUUUUCUUGCUGAUUUUUGUGCUAGCAAUUUUAUUUAAAUCCACAGCUGCUUUUUUUCAUUUGACUUCAUGUGAUGGUUAUGAUUGAUUCAUAAGAUUUAGGUGGUCGUGAUAAAAUUAGAAGAGUGAUAUCUAUGGUAUUUUGGAUUUGUGAGAGUGAUUUGUUAGAGCAGUGAGUAAAUUUUCAUAUGUAGUGUAGGGUCAAGUUUAAUAAUCAUUAAUGCGAUUUGGUAUAUGUCUGGUACAAACACUUUCAAAUUGUAGAUACACGGUUUGUUGGUGCAGCAGGGGGCUGGAAAAUUUUUUCAGUAUGUAUUUUAUGGUUUGGCUUUUUUUUGUUAGGCCUUUCCCGGCUAAAACAGUAUUUUGCAUUUUGGUUGCUCAGUUAAUAAAUUUGAGAUCUGCUGGCACCUGUGACGCUCUUCUUAUAUUUUGGAUAAGUUUUAUGUCCUGCUUUUUUUCCAGCUUUAAAAUGCAUUGAUAAUUGUUGGAUUCAAAUAGAUUUAUAAUUUUUGCGAAGAAAUGAGAGGAUUCAUGUUUUACGAACAGGGAGAGGAAGAAAGAAAACAUUAGUUUAGAUUGCAAUUUUAAAACUUUUUAUGUUGUUAGUGCUGGAACCAAUGUGUUUUGUUGCGAAAUUGAUAAUGUGCAAAGUUAUUAGAAUUUUGGAAAACUUUGUCUUUCUCACUUUUACCUGGCAGAGGGAACACAACUCUUACGUGUAUGAUUUCAAGUUUUUCCCUUAGAAAUUCAAGCUCUAUUGGAUACAUGAGGUAUAAGAGUCUAUUUGGGAUAUUUUCAAGUUUUACUGAUUCCUGAAAAGAAGCAUGCUUAAGAGUAAUCAUAUUUCAGUUUUUAUUGAAUUCAGGUAACCAUCUUCAGUUUUUUGCUUUGAUCUGAAGGCUUUGUUUUUAUUGAGUUCAGAUAUCAAAGUUGGGAAUCAGUUCAUAUGUUUUUCAAUGUUUUUAUUCCGAUUUAAUAAUGUGAUUUAAUGGUGUGAUGCUGAUUUAGGCUAAAUUCAGAGGCUUUUCAAUAGGCAAGUUUGCAACAAGGAAUUCAGAGGCAGUUGUAUCAUUAGCUGAAAUAUACUAGAUCUAAUCCUUAGACAUCA